This 395-nucleotide long non-coding RNA is filed under the name Pongo abelii (Sumatran orangutan). RNAcentral describes it as "lincRNA". The record is from RNAcentral. Lineage: Eukaryota; Metazoa; Chordata; Mammalia; Primates; Hominidae.
GCUCCCACAAAUUGGUAUCCGCCGUGGGGCAUGUCCAGUUUCUUUUUCCUCUACCGAACUACAGACGCAGAGCGGGCUUGUCUUUCCGCUUAAUCUCAACCUCGUGUGAUCUGCCAGUUUUGCUCCUGACCCCAAAUUCCAGCGAAACAGCUGAUGCCAGCCAGCUUGAACACCCCUGCCACAGAACAAGGGAAUCAGCCUGAGAAUACAGCUUCUUCAUCUCCCUGUCCCAUGACUUCGCCCUGCACUCUUCAGCCAAUUAAUGAUCUCCACACUUCGGACCACUCCAAAACCCUUAAGAACCUGAGCCUCAAAGUCCUCCUGGAGACGAAUUUGAGGUUUCCUCCUAUCUGUGUUUGGUGGCCCUAUGAUUUAAACCUCUUUCUCUUCUGCAA